AGCAGCCGCGGUAAUUCCAGCUCCAAUAGCGUAUAUUAAAGUUGUUGCAGUUAAAAAGCUCGUAGUUGAAUUUCGGGGUCAGUAGAUUGGUCAUGCCACUGGUAUGUACUGGUCUCACUGAUUCCUCCUUCCUGAUGAGCCGUAAUGCCAUUAAUUUGGUGUUGCGAGGAAUCUGGACUGUUACUUUGAAAAAAUUAGAGUGUUUAAAGCAGGCUAACGCUUGAAUACAUUAGCAUGGAAUAAUGAAAUAGGACGUCCGAUCUUAUUUUGUUGGUUUCUAAGAUUGACGUAAUGAUUAAUAGGGAUAGUUGGGGGCAUUAGUAUUCAAUUGUCAGAGGUGAAAUUCUUGGAUUUAUUGAAGACUAACUACUGCGAAAGCAUUUGCCAAGGAUGUUUUCAUUAAUCAAGAACGAAAGUUAGGGGAUCGAAGACGAUCAGAUACCGUCGUAG
This 450-nucleotide ribosomal RNA is filed under the name uncultured Glomeromycotina. RNAcentral describes it as "SSU rRNA". It matches the Rfam family "Eukaryotic small subunit ribosomal RNA", at positions 569 to 1023 of the family's 1831-position model. Lineage: Eukaryota; Fungi; Glomeromycota. The record is from RNAcentral.